Molecule: ribosomal RNA, 253 nt
Filed under: uncultured bacterium
Lineage: Bacteria
Description: partial 16S ribosomal RNA
Rfam family: Bacterial small subunit ribosomal RNA
Source: RNAcentral
UACGUAGGGGGCAAGCGUUGUCCGGAAUUAUUGGGCGUAAAGAGCGCGUAGGCGGUCCGAUAAGUCGGCUGUGAAAGUCAAGGGCUCAACCCUUGAAAGCCGGCCGAUACUGUCGGACUAGAGUCCGGAAGAGGCGAGUGGAAUUCCCGGUGUAGCGGUGAAAUGCGCAGAUAUCGGGAGGAACACCAAUGGCGAAGGCAGCUCGCUGGGACGGUACUGACGCUGAGGUGCGAAAGCGUGGGGAGCAAACAGG